GUCGAGCGCAAUCUUCGGAUUGAGCGGCGGACGGGUGAGUACCGCGUGGGAACCUAUCCUGGAGUGGGGAACAACCGCUGGAAACGGCGGCUAAUACCGCAUACGCCCUUCGGGGGAAAGAUUUAUCGCUCUGGGAGGGGCCCGCGUCCGAUUAGCUGGUUGGUGGGGUAACGGCCUACCAAGGCAACGAUCGGUAGCUGGUCUGAGAGGAUGAUCAGCCACACUGGGACUGAGACACGGCCCAGACUCCUACGGGAGGCAGCAGUGGGGAAUAUUGGGCAAUGGGCGGAAGCCUGACCCAGCCAUGCCGCGUGCGGGAAGAAGGCGCAUUGCGUUGUAAACCGCUUUUCUUCGGGGAUAAAGUUCGGAACGUCCGGAUGUGCAGGUACCGAAGGAAUAAGCACCGGCAAACUACGUGCCAGCAGCCGCGGUAAUACGUAGGGUGCAAGCGUUGUCCGGAUUUACUGGGUUUAAAGGGUGCGUAGGCGGGCUGGUAAGUCUGGGAUGAAAUGAUUUCGCUCAACGGGAUCGCUGUCCUGGAUACUGCCGGUCUUGAGACGGGAUGAGGUUGCUGGAAUGAGUGGUGUAGCGGUGAUAUGCGUAGAGAUCACUCAGAACACCGAUUGCGAAGGCAGGCAACUGGGCCCGAUCUGACGCUGAGGCACGAAAGC
RNAcentral lists this ribosomal RNA (671 nucleotides) under uncultured bacterium. RNAcentral's name for it is "bacterial SSU rRNA". It matches the Rfam family "Bacterial small subunit ribosomal RNA", at positions 61 to 760 of the family's 1533-position model. The record is from RNAcentral.